Odocoileus virginianus texanus is the source of this 2039-nucleotide non-coding RNA. The record is from RefSeq and is a predicted model, not a curated record. Lineage: Eukaryota; Metazoa; Chordata; Mammalia; Artiodactyla; Cervidae.
UCACUAGGUGGCAGUGUAUGAUUAUAUCUGGAAAAAGCAUGGCGUCCAGUCCAGCAUCUCCAGCUGUGACCUCCGACAGCACAAUGAAAUUUCUGUGACUGCACUUGGUCCAGGAGAUAUUACUUCUCAUGUAGCUGUGUACACCGUUUAUCCCAGUGGGUUCCAAGAGCUAUACCGCCAUUUUCUAAGGCUCCCUAGCGGUGCCAUUGUUGAGGUGUUUGGUGAUAUCGGUGGUUUAACGAUUAUCCCCAGUGAACUGGUCACAGCUAUUCAGAAACAUCUAAGUGAAAUAGACAGUACACAGGGAGACUCUCCGGAUAUUAAAUCAAGAGAAAUGAAAGAAAUUAUUGAAAAUAAAACAGGAAUUGGUGGUCCCAAUGAAGAGAUGGGUGUAGAGAAGGAAGCAAUCUUUUCUCACUCCUGAAGGGUGCUCGAGGCCACAGCGCAUUUCCUAAUCCAAACCGUCUAAUACAACAUCGCUGCAAAGCAAGAGUUAUUCAGUAUUUUAAAGUCAAGUGUUCAGUCUUUUGUUGCCCGAGUUGUUUGAUAACUGUUUUCCUUGCCAUUGAACUGAUCUUCCUGAGCAUUAAGUGUUUUAUAUACUAGCUUCAACAUACGAGUUAAUCUAGCACUUUCAUUAACGUUUUGUGUGUACGUGUGGUGGGUGGAGAUUAACUACCAUGUUUUUUCAAGGGUUCUUUCUUGUUGAAAAGGCCCACUUUAAUGUUCAUGGGCUCAUGCUAUAACUUAGCUCAACACUGAAAUAAGAUUUGAGUGCUGUCUUAUCUCUGAAGUGAAUACCCCAUUUGCAUUGGUAUUGAAACAGCCUAUUUAAUUUAGAUUUUUUUUUUUAUGUACACACAUGGUUAGUUUCUUAAUAGAAAAAUAAGUAAAAGGAAAAAAAGGACCUUUUUAUUCUUAUAAUCAAGUCCUCUCAUUUCUGUGGCAUUUUAUGAACUCCAAAAAAUGCCAUGGAUAAGGAGAGAAAGGAGUGGUCUUUGUUCCUAGAUGCUCUAUAAGAACCGAGUUCUAACAUGAGCAUCUUCACUACAAUGUUCUCUUAGCAGUGUACACAUAUUUAUACACUAUGCAGAGUGUUACUUCAAAAUUCAAGAUAGGUUUCUAGGGGACUAUAUAUAUCUAUCAAUUAAGCUAUUUUUCUCAGUAACUUGAGGACAAUUACAGUGCUAAUAAUGAUUUUGUAGGAAUCUACUAGUAAAAUAAGCUUUGCUUUAUCUGUAAACUCAUGCAUAUUUCUUCCAAUUAUUUCACUGAUAACUUCUUUUCUAAUAUUGCAGUUACUCACUGACGUGUGUCACUCACAUUGAUAUUUUACCUCACUUACAGCUAAUACCCAACACAAGCUAUGGUUAUAAUUGAAAACAGUAAAUAAAAAAUACUUCUAAUAGAUCAUUUUUGCUAGUACCCACUGUGUUCUCACUGCUCAAAUAGAUUAUCCACUUGAAAUUAAAUUCUAUUAAGGAAUAAAAAUAUAAAUAAGAAGGAAUUAAACAUUUAAAUGCUUGCUGUAAAUUUAAAAGUGAGAUCUGUUCAGUUUUCCUUAUAUUAAGCUCAGUGACAAUAGAUAGAUUACACUAAGUGUCAGUUAAGCAAGUAGAUGAAAAAUGAGUGAUUUUCGUCCUUCAGUUAAAUAUGGUGCUAAGUGGUAUGCACCAGCAUUAAAAGCAAAUUACUUAUCACUUCAACAAUCACAGCAUGAGAGCAUUCUAUUGAAAGCUGCAUUUCCAGUCUUUCUUGGUCCUCAGUUUUAUUAAAUAAAUCAACUGAUAAUGGUUGGAUAAGCAGAAGAAAAAGCCUGGAUGGCAUUAUGACAUUUCCAUUUUCUAAGCGCCUAUUCGAGAUAUCUCUAAAAUGGCCUUUUGUAAUCGCCAAGAAUUCACAGUCACAACUACAUACAAACCCACCCACACCCAUACCCGCACCCACACCUCACACACACUAUAUAAUCACUCUAAACUCUAGUCUUGUCUGACUUUUUGUGACCCCAUGGACUAUACAGUCCAUGGAAUUCUCCAGGU